RNAcentral lists this ribosomal RNA (486 nucleotides) under uncultured bacterium. RNAcentral's name for it is "partial 16S ribosomal RNA". It matches the Rfam family "Bacterial small subunit ribosomal RNA", at positions 30 to 507 of the family's 1533-position model. The record is from RNAcentral.
AUUGAACGCUGGCGGCAUGCCUUACACAUGCAAGUCGAACGGCAGCACGGGUGCUUGCCCCUGGUGGCGAGUGGCGAACGGGUGAGUAAUACAUCGGAACAUGUCCUGUAGUGGGGGAUAGCCCGGCGAAAGCCGGAUUAAUACCGCAUACGAUCUACGGAUGAAAGCGGGGGACCUUCGGGCCUCGCGCUUUAGGGUUGGCCGAUGGCUGAUUAGCUAGUUGGUGGGGUAAAGGCCUACCAAGGCGACGCUCAGUAGCUGGUCUGAGAGGACGACCAGCCACACUGGGACUGAGACACGGCCCAGACUCCUACGGGAGGCAGCAGUGGGGAAUUUUGGACAAUGGGCGAAAGCCUGAUCCAGCAAUGCCGCGUGUGUGAAGAAGGCCUUCGGGUUGUAAAGCACUUUUGUCCGGAAAGAAAUACUUGGCCCUAAUACGGUCGGGGGAUGACGGUACCGGAAGAAUAAGCACCGGCUAACUACGUG